This 459-nucleotide long non-coding RNA is filed under the name Salvia miltiorrhiza (redroot sage). Its description in RNAcentral is "long non-coding RNA (SMIL_LNC004618)". Lineage: Eukaryota; Viridiplantae; Streptophyta; Magnoliopsida; Lamiales; Lamiaceae. The record is from RNAcentral.
GGAAAAUAUAAAUUACUGGCGCGCCGGCGAGGACGGAAAAAAUCACCACCGGAUUAUUAAUCCCGCAAAACCUCCUCGAUCAAACUUAUGCAGCAAAAUACUCUUGGAAAAUUUUUCCGGAAUUACGCAAAUUUUGCUUCAGCAAUUUGCUUCUCAACUAUAGAAAUCGGACAAAAUUCAUGCAAAACUAGAAUUGAACGACGGGAAUUUGGAUACAAAUGAAUCGGAAGGGUAUAUUUGUCAUUCAAUAAAAGUUACAAGAGAUACCCGACCCGACAUUAGUGAUAAGGUUUACUAAUAUCCGACUCGGAUCCGAAAUAACCGCUUUUCAGAAAAUUAGUUUUACCUAUUGUUGUUGUUGGACAUUGGCACUCGGAAAGCUGGCAGCCUUCUGCUGCGACGGAGAUGUAGAUGGAGACGGGGCAGGAUGGCGGCGACCGGCCGGAGAGGUGAAGACUG